AACCCAUGGUUAGCGCACUGUCUCAAUAAGUUCUUAUACCUCUCCCAUGCAUCAUAUAGGGUUUCUAAGUCAAUCUGACCGAAGGAAGAGAUAUCAUUCCUCAACUU
This 107-nucleotide small nucleolar RNA is filed under the name Gossypium hirsutum (cotton). RNAcentral's name for it is "Plant small nucleolar RNA R71". It matches the Rfam family "Plant small nucleolar RNA R71". From Rfam's summary of the family: R71 is a member of the C/D box family of snoRNAs containing the C (UGAUGA) and D (CUGA) box motifs. Multiple nearly identical copies of this snoRNA have been identified in Arabidopsis, and it is thought to function as a 2'-O-ribose methylation guide for 18S ribosomal RNA. The record is from Rfam by way of RNAcentral. Lineage: Eukaryota; Viridiplantae; Streptophyta; Magnoliopsida; Malvales; Malvaceae.